UACGUAGGGGGCAAGCGUUGUCCGGAUUUAUUGGGCGUAAAGAGCGUGUAGGCGGCCAUACAGGUCCGUUGUGAAAACUCGAGGCUUAACCUCGAGACGUCGAUGGAAACCGUAUGGCUAGAGUCCGGAAGAGGAGAGUGGAAUUCCUGGUGUAGCGGUGAAAUGCGCAGAUAUCAGGAAGAACACCCGUGGCGAAGGCGGGUCUCUGGGCCGAUACUGACGCUGAGGAGCGAAAGCGUGGGGAGCGAACAGG
This 253-nucleotide ribosomal RNA is filed under the name uncultured bacterium. RNAcentral's name for it is "partial 16S ribosomal RNA". It matches the Rfam family "Bacterial small subunit ribosomal RNA", at positions 524 to 776 of the family's 1533-position model. The record is from RNAcentral.